Non-coding RNA from Podarcis lilfordi (Lilford's wall lizard), 71 nucleotides. The record is from the annotation of a GenBank genome assembly. NCBI's taxonomy places the organism in Eukaryota, Metazoa, Chordata, Lepidosauria, Squamata, Lacertidae.
GCAGUGGCACAAUGGGUCAGUUUGUCUGGCUGUUAAUCAGAAGGUUGGUGGUUUGAGACCACUCAGGGAUG